Molecule: ribosomal RNA, 100 nt
Filed under: uncultured bacterium
Lineage: Bacteria
Description: partial 16S ribosomal RNA
Rfam family: Bacterial small subunit ribosomal RNA
Source: RNAcentral
ACCAUGAGAGUUGGAAAUACCCGAAGCCUGUGAGCUAACUGUAAAGAGGCAGCAGUCGAAGGUAGAGCCAAUGAUUGGGGUGAAGUCGUAACAAGGUACC